RNAcentral lists this ribosomal RNA (253 nucleotides) under uncultured bacterium. Its description in RNAcentral is "partial 16S ribosomal RNA". It matches the Rfam family "Bacterial small subunit ribosomal RNA", at positions 524 to 776 of the family's 1533-position model. The record is from RNAcentral.
UACGUAGGGGGCAAGCGUUGUCCGGAAUCAUUGGGCGUAAAGCGCGCGUAGGCGGCCCGGUAAGUCCGCUGUAAAAGUCCAGGGCUCAACCCUGGAAAGCCGGUGGAUACUGUCGGGCUAGAGUCCGGAAGAGGCGAGUGGAAUUCCUGGUGUAGCGGUGGAAUGCGCAGAUAUCGAGAGGAACACCUGCGGCGAAGGCGGGUUGCUGGGCUGACACUGACGCUGAUGCGCGAAAGCUAGGGGAGCGAACGGG